Molecule: long non-coding RNA, 922 nt
Organism: Beta vulgaris subsp. vulgaris (sugar beet)
Lineage: Eukaryota; Viridiplantae; Streptophyta; Magnoliopsida; Caryophyllales; Amaranthaceae
Exons: 4
Source: RefSeq, a predicted model, not a curated record
CUUCUAUCGACGGUGGAUACUUGAUUGUUCACCUAAAUAAACCCUCUUUCCAAACUCCCUAUCAUUUCCUCCACUUCUCUUCAAAAUCAUUUAUAACAGAUUAACCCUCCAGUCUCCAGAUAUGUUUGUUUGUUAGUUUAAUUUCAUAUGCUGCGGAUUGUGGAUUUUCACCUUCUUCCCUUCAUGGAAUCUCAAUGUUCAAUUUGGUGAUACAUCAGGUCAAUUAGAACUCUUUUUGGAUCUCCUGGAAUAAAAUCUCAUCUUACUAUAAAUCCUAGCUCGUAGAGCUUACAUGGAAAUGCUUCUCCCUGGAUUAAAAUAGAGCAGCCAAUGCUAGCAGGUGGUCAUGGCUAGCAAUGCAGCCAUCACCUUUCUGGUGAGUCAUGUUGCAAUAAUUAAAUGGACUAAUGGACUACUUAGUGGUUAAAUUCUUUUUCUUAAACUAAGCUUGUGCUGUGGAUUAAGUUGCAUACUGGAAAAAAAAAAUUUAGUCAAGGAGAAUGAUAAAGAAGUGGAAUUCCAUUCAUUUGAAGAGUUGUAAUAUACUUACAAAAUUGGAGAAGAAUUAGAGUUGAUUUAAGAUGGAAAGAUGAUAAAGAAAGAAGUAUUAUCUUUCCCUUUCCUUCUCCUCCCAUAUUGGAAAGUGUGAUACUGUCAUACUGAUAGUCUGAUGACAAAAACAGAAGCUUGUGAAAAUGGAGUUUUAAUGGGUUUAAUGCCCUUCAAUUUCUUGUAGAAAACAAUUGUUUAUGAUCUUAGCGCUGACAUUCAGUUUGUUAGCUCUUUGAUGCAAGAAAGGGUCAAAUAACCCUCAUUAAGGUUUUUUUUUUGGGUAGAUCUCUUCGAGUCAAAAAGGGCUAAUUUGAAUAUCGUAAUGACUUGUCUUUCAUUAUAAUAUAUGGGUACGGAUUGUUUGAGAAAA